CUGGCUGGGGGCAUUGUGAAGGAGAAGCCUAACUUCAGCUUAAAAACUAAAGUAGAUCUUUAAAGCACUCACAGCUGAAAAGUCUUUAUGCCAUGAAAAAUUCAGAAACUAAUGGAAUGUAGUACAUCCUACAGUUUUUUUCUAGAUUUUCCAGAGUCCACAGGCUUUUUUAAUCUCUUGAGGUAUGCUAGUUUCUUUAACAGCCCACAUCAAAAAGCUUAUCCACCACGAUCAAUUCAGCUUCAUACCUGGGAUGCAAGGCUGGUUCAACAUAUGCAAAUCAAUAAAUGUAAUCCAUCACAUAAACAGAACCAACAACAAAAACCAUGAUUAUCUCAAUAUAUGCAGAAAAGGCCUUUGACAAAAUUCAACAGCCCUUUAUGCUAAAAACUCACAAUAAGCUAGAUAUUGGUGGAACGUAUCUCAAAAUAAUAAGAGCUAUUUAUGACAAU
Molecule: long non-coding RNA, 452 nt
Filed under: Homo sapiens (human)
Lineage: Eukaryota; Metazoa; Chordata; Mammalia; Primates; Hominidae
Description: non-protein coding lnc-HS3ST5-9:1
Source: RNAcentral